CGCCAGCGACAUAGACACGCUUAACAUUCGAGACGCGUAACAGGAAGCACGUAACACAAACUUGCGCUGAUACUCGUGAAUUUGAUCCAGUGAUCACCGUUUCGGGACGAAACAACGCUGCAGGCGAGGCAACCACCUGCCCCCGGAUGAGUCGUUUCCUUUUCACGACAGGGCUAUCUCGAGAAAAAGGAAAACCAUCGCCCAGCCUCGGUGAAUAGAGAAGAGUCCUGAUAAUAACGACGCAGCUGCUAAUAAAAAGUGAAGAUACACUGAAAAUACACAGGCUACCAGGAAAGUAACGUCGUUAUGCUCGAGACAGAGAGGACAAAGAGGUGGAACGACGAUGGGGUAGAACGGCAGUUCUGGUCAAGAACAAAUUGUGUCCCUUUCCAUUCAGAGUGCUUCUAGAGUUUGGAUCAAACGUCAGCAGCCAUUGUAAUAUUUACCAGAAGCGAAAAGAUGUUGAUAAACGUGGGUCCAGAUAUUAUUGCAGUUUUGGAGACGUAAGACGCUUUCAACUAUGAGUCUGUCACAGCAUAAGAAACUUUAUUACGUGGAGAAGUUUUUCUGGACUAUAGCUACCAGGCAUGUAAAUAUGAAACCGGAAUUUUUGUAUAGAAAAUACA
Molecule: unclassified non-coding RNA, 626 nt
Filed under: Bombus terrestris (buff-tailed bumblebee)
Lineage: Eukaryota; Metazoa; Arthropoda; Insecta; Hymenoptera; Apidae
Description: misc RNA ENSBTSG00005026303.1
Source: RNAcentral